UUUUUACAAUGAAGAGUUUGAUCCUGGCUCAGGAUGAACGCUAGCUACAGGCUUAACACAUGCAAGUCGAGGGGCAGCAUGGUCUUAGCUUGCUAAGGCCGAUGGCGACCGGCGCACGGGUGAGUAACACGUAUCCAACCUGCCGUCUACUCUUGGACAGCCUUCUGAAAGGAAGAUUAAUACAAGAUGGCAUCAUGAGUCCGCAUGUUCACAUGAUUAAAGGUAUUCCGGUAGACGAUGGGGAUGCGUUCCAUUAGAUAGUAGGCGGGGUAACGGCCCACCUAGUCUUCGAUGGAUAGGGGUUCUGAGAGGAAGGUCCCCCACAUUGGAACUGAGACACGGUCCAAACUCCUACGGGAGGCAGCAGUGAGGAAUAUUGGUCAAUGGGCGAGAGCCUGAACCAGCCAAGUAGCGUGAAGGAUGACUGCCCUAUGGGUUGUAAACUUCUUUUAUAAAGGAAUAAAGUCGGGUAUGGAUACCCGUUUGCAUGUACUUUAUGAAUAAGGAUCGGCUAACUCCGUGCCAGCAGCCGCGGUAAUACGGAGGAUCCGAGCGUUAUCCGGAUUUAUUGGGUUUAAAGGGAGCGUAGAUGGAUGUUUAAGUCAGUUGUGAAAGUUUGCGGCUCAACCGUAAAAUUGCAGUUGAUACUGGAUAUCUUGAGUGCAGUUGAGGCAGGCGGAAUUCGUGGUGUAGCGGUGAAAUGCUUAGAUAUCACGAAGAACUCCGAUUGCGAAGGCAGCCUGCUAAGCUGCAACUGACAUUGAGGCUCGAAAGUGUGGGUAUCAAACAGGAUUAGAUACCCUGGUAGUCCACACGGUAAACGAUGAAUACUCGCUGUUUGCGAUAUACUGCAAGCGGCCAAGCGAAAGCGUUAAGUAUUCCACCUGGGGAGUACGCCGGCAACGGUGAAACUCAAAGGAAUUGACGGGGGCCCGCACAAGCGGAGGAACAUGUGGUUUAAUUCGAUGAUACGCGAGGAACCUUACCCGGGCUUAAAUUGCAGAUGAAUUACGGUGAAAGCCGUAAGCCGCAAGGCAUCUGUGAAGGUGCUGCAUGGUUGUCGUCAGCUCGUGCCGUGAGGUGUCGGCUUAAGUGCCAUAACGAGCGCAACCCUUGUUGUCAGUUACUAACAGGUUCCGCUGAGGACUCUGACAAGACUGCCAUCGUAAGAUGUGAGGAAGGUGGGGAUGACGUCAAAUCAGCACGGCCCUUACGUCCGGGGCUACACACGUGUUACAAUGGGGGGUACAGAGGGCCGCUACCACGCGAGUGGAUGCCAAUCCCCAAAACCUCUCUCAGUUCGGACUGGAGUCUGCAACCCGACUCCACGAAGCUGGAUUCGCUAGUAAUCGCGCAUCAGCCACGGCGCGGUGAAUACGUUCCCGGGCCUUGUACACACCGCCCGUCAAGCCAUGGGAGCCGGGGGUACCUGAAGUGCGUAACCGCGAGGAGCGCCCUAGGGUAAAACUGGUGACUGGGGCUAAGUCGUAACAAGGUAGCCGUACCGGAAGGUGCGGCUGGAACAC
This 1526-nucleotide ribosomal RNA is filed under the name Phocaeicola vulgatus. RNAcentral's name for it is "bacterial SSU rRNA". It matches the Rfam family "Bacterial small subunit ribosomal RNA". The record is from RNAcentral. Lineage: Bacteria; Pseudomonadati; Bacteroidota; Bacteroidia; Bacteroidales; Bacteroidaceae.